GACGAACGCUGGCGGCGCGCCUAACACAUGCAAGUCGAACGGAGUCAAGAGGAGCUUGCUUUUCUUGACUUAGUGGCGAACGGGUGAGUAACGCGUGAGUAACCUGCCCUGGAGUGGGGGACAACAGUUGGAAACGACUGCUAAUACCGCAUAAGCCCACGGAUCCGCUUGGAUCUGCGGGAAAAGGAUUUAUUCGCUUCAGGAUGGACUCGCGUCCAAUUAGCUAGUUGGUGAGGUAACGGCCCACCAAGGCGACGAUUGGUAGCCGGACUGAGAGGUUGAACGGCCACAUUGGGACUGAGACACGGCCCAGACUCCUACGGGAGGCAGCAGUGGGGGAUAUUGCACAAUGGGGGAAACCCUGAUGCAGCGACGCCGCGUGGAGGAAGAAGGUUUUCGGAUUGUAAACUCCUGUCGUGAGGGACGAUAAUGACGGUACCUAACAAGAAAGCACCGGCUAACUACGUG
RNAcentral lists this ribosomal RNA (468 nucleotides) under uncultured bacterium. RNAcentral describes it as "partial 16S ribosomal RNA". It matches the Rfam family "Bacterial small subunit ribosomal RNA", at positions 28 to 507 of the family's 1533-position model. The record is from RNAcentral.